CUGGCAGAGAGAUGAGUCACUGAGGAGACAGGAGGAGAUCUGGCAGAGAGAUGAGUCACUGAGGAGACAGGAGGAGAUCUGGCAGAGCGAUGAGUCCCUGAAGAGACAGGGGGAGAUCUGGCAGAGAGACGAGUCCCUGAGGAGACAGGAGGACAUCUGGCAGAGAGAUGAGUCCCUGGGGAGACAGGGGGAGAUCUGGCAGAGAGACGAGUCCCUGGGGAGACAGGACGAGAUCUGGCAGAGAGAUGAGUCCCUGUGGAGACAGGACGAGAUCUGGCAGAGAGAUGAGUCCCUGUGGAGACAGGAGGAGAUCUGGCAGAGAGACGAGUCCCUGGGGAGACAGGGGGAGAUCUGGCAGAGAGAUGAGUCCCUGGGGAGACAGGAGGAGAUCUGGCACAGAGAGGUGGAAGAGUCUCUGUCCUACUGCCGGCCUCGCUCCCGCCCCAAACACGUCGACUUCCUCAGAAUCACACCUCUGGAAGAUGACAUCAUCAGCGACUCACCUUUCUCCCCACUGCAACACAUUGGGGUAGAGGAGAGUGGCUGGCUCAUCCCAGCACCAGGCCCCAGUGAAACAGGCAGAGGGGCUGGGCAGACACUUUCAUUACAGGAAUCAUGAGGAUAAUGCACUUAACUGUUUGACCAAAUCAUGGUCUUAACUGCCCCCCAAAAAAGAAGGUUUGAUUGAGGUGACAAUGUGCUCCGUCUGUGUUUAUAGGCACCCUGUGUGUCAAUUUCCAACAGCCAACCCAAUCCAAAUUGUCCAGCACAUAUGGCAUUUGCCAGAAUUGCCAGAUGGCCAAUCGGCCCCCCGAUCUCAUAUAACUUUACUGAUUCAUUAAAAAACAAAAAAAUUCAGAUAUUGAUAUCACAAAUGUAUGACUUGUAUUGUUAUUUAUUAAAGUUAUUUGUUACAUUA
Long non-coding RNA from Oncorhynchus gorbuscha (pink salmon), 919 nucleotides. RefSeq lists it as uncharacterized. The transcript has 2 exons. The record is from RefSeq and is a predicted model, not a curated record. NCBI's taxonomy places the organism in Eukaryota, Metazoa, Chordata, Actinopteri, Salmoniformes, Salmonidae.